GACGAACGCUGGCGGCGUGCUUAACACAUGCAAGUCGAACGGUGAAGCGCCUUCCUUUUUGGUGGGUGUGGAUGAGUGGCGAACGGGUGAGUAAAACGUGAGUAACCUGCCCCCUUCUUCUGGAUAACCGCAUGAAAGUGUGGCUAAUACGGGAUAUUCCGGGUUUGUCGCAUGAUGGGUUUGGGUAAGAUAUUGUUUCGGUGGGGGCCGGGCUCGCGGCCUAUCCGUUUGUUGGUGGGGUGAUGGCCUACCAAGGCGGUGACGGGUAGCCGGCCUGAGAGGGUGGACGGUCUGGCAGGGACUGAGACACGGCCCAGACUGCUACGGGAGGCAGCAGUGAGUAAUAUUGCACGAUGGACGGAAGCCUGAUGCAGCGACGCCGCGUGAGGGAUGGAGGCCUGCGGGUUGAGAACCUCUGUCGUUAGUGAAGCAAGGCUGCCUCAUUUGUGGUUGUGUUGACGGUAGCUGGAUAAGAAGCGCCGGCUAACUACGUG
Molecule: ribosomal RNA, 494 nt
Filed under: uncultured bacterium
Lineage: Bacteria
Description: partial 16S ribosomal RNA
Rfam family: Bacterial small subunit ribosomal RNA
Source: RNAcentral